This 1414-nucleotide ribosomal RNA is filed under the name Salmonella enterica subsp. diarizonae. RNAcentral describes it as "partial 23S ribosomal RNA". It matches the Rfam family "Bacterial large subunit ribosomal RNA", at positions 1243 to 2640 of the family's 2925-position model. The record is from RNAcentral. Lineage: Bacteria; Pseudomonadati; Pseudomonadota; Gammaproteobacteria; Enterobacterales; Enterobacteriaceae.
UAAGCCGUUGAAGGUGUCCUGUGAGGGGUGCUGGAGGUAUCAGAAGUGCGAAUGCUGACAUAAGUAACGAUAAAGCGGGUGAAAAGCCCGCUCGCCGGAAGACCAAGGGUUCCUGUCCAACGUUAAUCGGGGCAGGGUGAGUCGACCCCUAAGGCGAGGCCGAAAGGCGUAGUCGAUGGGAAACGGGUUAAUAUUCCCGUACUUGGUGUUACUGCGAAGGGGGGACGGAGAAGGCUAUGUUGGCCGGGCGACGGUUGUCCCGGUUUAAGCGUGUAGGUGUGUGUUCCAGGUAAAUCCGGUUCACUUUAACACUGAGGCGUGAUGACGAGGCACCACGGUGCUGAAGCAACAAAUGCCCUGCUUCCAGGAAAAGCCUCUAAGCAUCAGGUAACAUCAAAUCGUACCCCAAACCGACACAGGUGGUCAGGUAGAGAAUACCAAGGCGCUUGAGAGAACUCGGGUGAAGGAACUAGGCAAAAUGGUGCCGUAACUUCGGGAGAAGGCACGCUGACACGUAGGUGAAGUGAUUUACUCAUGGAGCUGAAGUCAGUCGAAGAUACCAGCUGGCUGCAACUGUUUAUUAAAAACACAGCACUGUGCAAACACGAAAGUGGACGUAUACGGUGUGACGCCUGCCCGGUGCCGGAAGGUUAAUUGAUGGGGUCAGCGCAAGCGAAGCUCCUGAUCGAAGCCCCGGUAAACGGCGGCCGUAACUAUAACGGUCCUAAGGUAGCGAAAUUCCUUGUCGGGUAAGUUCCGACCUGCACGAAUGGCGUAAUGAUGGCCAGGCUGUCUCCACCCGAGACUCAGUGAAAUUGAACUCGCUGUGAAGAUGCAGUGUACCCGCGGCAAGACGGAAAGACCCCGUGAACCUUUACUAUAGCUUGACACUGAACAUUGAGCCUUGAUGUGUAGGAUAGGUGGGAGGCUUUGAAGCGUGGACGCCAGUCUGCGUGGAGCCGACCUUGAAAUACCACCCUUUAAUGUUUGAUGUUCUAACGUGGACCCGUAAUCCGGGUUGCGGACAGUGUCUGGUGGGUAGUUUGACUGGGGCGGUCUCCUCCUAAAGAGUAACGGAGGAGCACGAAGGUUGGCUAAUCCUGGUCGGACAUCAGGAGGUUAGUGCAAUGGCAUAAGCCAGCUUGACUGCGAGCGUGACGGCGCGAGCAGGUGCGAAAGCAGGUCAUAGUGAUCCGGUGGUUCUGAAUGGAAGGGCCAUCGCUCAACGGAUAAAAGGUACUCCGGGGAUAACAGGCUGAUACCGCCCAAGAGUUCAUAUCGACGGCGGUGUUUGGCACCUCGAUGUCGGCUCAUCACAUCCUGGGGCUGAAGUAGGUCCCAAGGGUAUGGCUGUUCGCCAUUUAAAGUGGUACGCGAGCUGGGUUUAGAACGUCGUGAGACAGUUCGGUCCCUA